CUUAAAAUAAUCGGACUUUCAUUUUGCUCAUGUUAAGACGAGAUUCUCCUCCUGUUCCUAACAUGACCAUGGGGGUACUUAAGGGCCAUUAUACGGGCCUCUCCUCCGAUUCGAUCUUAAAAUAAUCGGACUCUCAUUUUGCUCAUGUUAGGACGAGAUUCUCCUUCUGUUCCUAACAUGACCAUGGGGGCACUUAAGGGCCAUUAUACGGGCCUCUCUCCCG
Molecule: long non-coding RNA, 223 nt
Filed under: Elaeis guineensis (African oil palm)
Lineage: Eukaryota; Viridiplantae; Streptophyta; Magnoliopsida; Arecales; Arecaceae
Description: long non-coding RNA (EGUI_LNC080752)
Source: RNAcentral